RNAcentral lists this microRNA precursor (145 nucleotides) under Gossypium hirsutum (cotton). RNAcentral describes it as "MIR7502 microRNA precursor family". It matches the Rfam family "MIR7502 microRNA precursor family". The record is from Rfam by way of RNAcentral. Lineage: Eukaryota; Viridiplantae; Streptophyta; Magnoliopsida; Malvales; Malvaceae.
UGUUAAAAGUUUACUCAUUUGUACUAUUAAAAGUUGUUGUGAUUGAUGGAAUAACCAUAUAGUGACAUGUGACAUGCCAUGUGUACCUCAUACUUGAUUAACAUGGAUAAACUUUUAAUAAUAGAAAUAGAUGAAAUUUUUAAUA